UAAGCUCUCUCACAUGAGCCAAAUACCCCUGACAUCCCUUCCUAAGCAACCUACGAGCCUGAAGAGCUGAUAUCAGACCUCUAGGUGUACCCCUCCUGUCUCCCCUGAAGACAACCUCUGACCCAUCCUGACCUCUAAACCUGACUACCUUGUCCCUGCAGUCCAAGGUAGCACCAUGGGUAGAUAACCAGUCCAUCCCUAGAAUGACGUCAAAAU
Molecule: long non-coding RNA, 216 nt
Filed under: Manihot esculenta (cassava)
Lineage: Eukaryota; Viridiplantae; Streptophyta; Magnoliopsida; Malpighiales; Euphorbiaceae
Description: long non-coding RNA (MESC_LNC008618)
Source: RNAcentral